Molecule: non-coding RNA, 373 nt
Organism: Arachis ipaensis
Lineage: Eukaryota; Viridiplantae; Streptophyta; Magnoliopsida; Fabales; Fabaceae
Source: RefSeq, a predicted model, not a curated record
CGUUCCAACUCCUCGCGAAGAGUAGAAGAAAUUAAGAAGAAAAGAUACAAAUCUCCAUAAAAAUUUAUCAGAAAAAAGGAAGAAACAUUAUUCAAGGUACUGUUUUACUGUUCUUCUAGGUUUUUCUUCUAGAUUAUUGUCUCUGCCAUGUGUCUCAUCCUUAACCAGUAAAACAUUAAAAGAUUUCAAGAAGAAAUAUACUGUCUCCCCUUGUUUUGGGUUUAUUUCUUAAAUCAUUUGGGUGUAUUUCUGUAAUCUUUUGGGUAUAUUUCUAUAACCGUUUGGGUAUAUUUAUGUAAUCAUUUGGGUGUAUUUCUGAAGUUCCAUUAUCUUCAAAACAAUUUCAAAGCUUGAUUUUAGAAACCAUGAAAAU